This 553-nucleotide ribosomal RNA is filed under the name Tetropium castaneum. Its description in RNAcentral is "partial 16S ribosomal RNA". It matches the Rfam family "Archaeal large subunit ribosomal RNA", at positions 1887 to 2689 of the family's 2987-position model. The record is from RNAcentral. Lineage: Eukaryota; Metazoa; Arthropoda; Insecta; Coleoptera; Cerambycidae.
UCGCCCUGUUUUUACAAAAACAUGUCUUUUUGAAUUUAAUUUAAAGUCUAACCUGCCCACUGAAAUUUUAAAUGGCCGCAGUAUCUUGACUGUGCAAAGGUAGCAUAAUCAUUAGUUUCUUAAUUAGAAGCUGGAAUGAAGGGUUGAAUGAGAAAAUAACUGUUUCUGUUUAAUUAUAAUAAAAUUUUAUUUUUAAGUUAAAAAGCUUAAAUUUUUUUAAAAGACGAGAAGACCCUAUAGAGUUUUAUAUAAUAAAUAAUUUAAUUUUUUAGUAUUUUUAUUUUUAAAUUUAUUAUUAUAUUUUGUUGGGGUGAUAGAAAAAUUAAUUAAACUUUUUAUUUUUAAUAACAUUAAUUUAUGAAUUUUUGAUCCAUUAGUUAUGAUUACAAGAUUAAAUUACCUUAGGGAUAACAGCGUAAUUUUUUUAGAGAGUUCUAAUCAAUAGAAAAGAUUGCGACCUCGAUGUUGGAUUAAAAUUAAUUAUUGGUGUAGAAGCUAAUAAUUUUAGGUCUGUUCGACCUUUAAAAUUUUACGUGAUCUGAUUCAGACCGGA